GAGUGGUUAAAAGAUAGAAUAGUCUAGUCAAGUGCCAUGUCUCUUAUUCUUGAUCAGCUAUAGCUCUAGGGUUUUUGCAGAUUUUCAAAUAAAACUCAGAGAUUCCUUGUAUGAUUCUCUCAGAUCUCUCUUUUGUGGUAUUUCUAGAUCCUUACCAAGGCAGUGAUGGUAUAUGCCUUCUCUCAAUAUAUGUGGUAUUUGUGGUAUAAAGCAUAGUGACAUUGCCUUCUCUCUCACCCUACUCUAAUAAGGCUUUAAUAUCUGGAGCUCAUAGAUGGGAGAUAAAGUAUACAUACUUACAAGACAUGUAUUGCAUAGUCAAACCAUGGAUCCAAAGAAACAAGCCAAUGAGUUUAAUCAAGAUGUGCAUGUGUGGCGAAUGAAUGAUGUAUGGUGAUGAUGGUGAUAACAAUGGUGGUGGAAGUCUAAUUCUACUUUGCUCUUUUGAGGGGAUACAUACCUUUCUUGUUUUUUUGAAACUUUAUGAGGAGAAUGAGAUGCUCUUCUUUUUCUUUUCUCUCAGGUGGGUAUCUUGCACCCCUAAUUCUACUGUCGGACACUUGUCCAUUUUUACCUCUCGUCUCACUCUCUUUUCUAUCGAGGUUCCGAGCACUUGCUCCUUUUUAUUUCCUCGUAUUUCUCUCUCUUUUUCUUUCCAGAGCAUUCAUCUCUUGAGAUAAUAUAGCAAGUGGUAGUAACAAGAUAACUUGUGCAUUUAUUUCACAAGGAAAAACAGAAAUAUUUUUGGCUAUUCUCUCCCGGAUUAGGAGUAGAAUAUUUUUGGGUGAUUCUGGAGAUGGAAUGGGUGGAUAUAUGUGGAUGGUACUUCCGGAAUAGAAGUAGCAUAUAUGAGUGAACGUGCAAGUGAAUCUUGAUUUAACCACAUGACAAAUUCCUAAGGGUCUACACAGCUUGACCACAAUCAAUGCUCAUAAGCAGUAAAUAGUAAAUGUGUGGCUCAAAGUCUAGCAAGCAUGUAUAUAUUGCUGUGGUAGGAAUUUAAACUCUCAUCAUACAGGAACUCAUCAUGCAACACUUUAAAGAUUUUUUAAAAGAUAAAAUUCUCCAGAAUUCUAGCAUCUCUAGGAACAGAUAAACAGCAGCUCAACCUUCCCAUAUCGUAUCCGUUAACAACUUAGACUUCAGAUCAAGUUUUCAUCCCACAAGUUUAGGUCUAGAGCAAGCUUUAAAUUAUAACAGUUAUAUCUAAACUUGAGAGAGAAUUUAAAAUGUGCAAAUUAGGCAGAGCAACUAUUCAUCAUUUCUAUGCUUAAGUUUUAUUUAGAUACAGAUUAGCAUAGCCACUUUAUUUAUUUAUUAAACACACUAAGCCAAAGACAUAUAUAUAAGCAUAAAAUAUUUAUUUGGUUUUUCAUAGUUUAUGUAUUUUAAUAUUCUAAUAUAGUAUAAGUAUAAAGAUAGAUAGAUAGAUAGAUAGAAAUACUUAUCGGGAUAAAUGGGGGUGCUCUCCCCCAAGCUGAAUUUUGACGUAAUUUCUCUUGAUGUAGCUAACAGGUGGCAGAGGUGUAUUUGAAAGUCAGCAGUAUUCUGAUAGCGAUUAGAAUGUCCUCCGUCUGCUAGUCUUCUUGAUUCUUAAAUUCUGUGGAGCUCAAAUUGACAACAAAGCUUGUGGAACUGAUUAAGUGUUAGCAUAAAUAUCUAGCCUUUAUCAUGUUGAGACUCCUUAAUAAUUAUUACUCCAUGUUUUUAUAUUUUUUUUUAUUUUAUAAAGCAGAAAAGAAAUAUUUAUUUUAUUUUUAUACCACCACAGUGAAUGUACUUAUGGGUUUUAUGCCACUCGCAUACUCACAUGGGGCUUACUGUUUUUCGCAUUUUUAUUUUCUUUUAUUUUUAAGAUAGUAUGAACAUGAUUAACUAAGUAAACUAGUUGAAAUAAUUGAAAGGGAAAGGAUAACUACCAAGUUUAUCUCUCGGCAAGGCGUUCGGUGUUUUCAAGUCCUCCGAACGGGACUCUCCAUUUUCUUAAUCGUCCUGAGGUUCGUUGGGUGGCGUAGUCGGUACUUCCGGUGGCGCCUCCUCUUCAUGUAUAGUUAUCUUCAUUUUCCACACCUGACUUGGUGCUUCAGUCUCCUCUGGAUAAUUCUGUUUAAACUCUACGUCUUCUGACCUUAUAACUUCUCCUUCAUAGUCUGCCCAUCCGUCCUUGAUGAUCUGCCUCCUCUGGUUGCGGUUGCGUCUUUUCCUUACCUGCUUAGAUUCUUCAAUGAUAUAGUUAGGGUCAGUAAAAUAACGGCGUACCUUCUCUGAGGGGAAGUGCAUAUGGACUUCUCCGGUUCCAAUGUAGAUAAUUGCUUUAACGGUGCUGAGGAACGGUCUUCCAAGGAUGAUGGGUGGAUCAUACUAAUCUUCUCCCAAGUCAAUAACUUGAAAGUCUGUGUAGACAAAGUGAUCGUCUAUUUUGACUGGGACAUCAGUUACUGUUCCUUUAACUUCUCGAAAUGUCUGAUCUGCCAUCUGGAGCUGAAUGUAUGUUGGUCUUAGGGGCAUGGUUUCGAAGAAGAGCCGAUAGGUGACUGCGGCCAUUAUGUUGACGCCCGAUCCGGUGUCACAAGUUGCCUUGUAGAAGUUGUAUCCAUUGAUGGAGCAAUAGAUGCUUGGCAUUCCUGGGUCGUCCUUCUUGGUCAAAAGCGGUGACUUAAGUUGGUGAUCUUGGCCUCCAUGAACUACAGUGACCAUCUUAGCUGACUCGGUCCACACUUGCUUGUUCCUGUUCCUCCUGUUGGUCCUCUUCCUUGAUUGACGUCUGGAUUGAUCUGGAAUUUGUGUAGUCUUGUUCUUGAAGAAAAAUGUCUCCUUCUUCCCUUUGACGUAGAAACUGAUCUUAGCAGCACUGGCGUAGAUGAUAGCUCCCGUGGUGUUCAAGAAUGGCCUCCCUAAGAUGAUAGGUGCUCUCUCAUCAUUUCCGGUCUCUACCACUACGAAGUCUGCUGGGGCAUAUAAGGUACCAACUCGGAUAAAAAGGUUCUUCACUAUUCCUUUUGGAAAAGUUAUCGUCUGAUCUGCAAACUGCAAACACAUGGUUGUUUCUAAUAAAGGAUAUGUAAAGAAUUUUUCAUAGAGUACCCUGGGUAUAAUGUUGACACUGGAGCCAAAGUCGCAGAGUGCUUCUGGAACGUCCACCAUGCCGAUAGAGAUCGGGAUGACGGGGCGUCCUGGAUCGCCUCUCUUGACCGGCAGAAGGUCAGUAGAAAAUUCAGUGGCGGGGUUACUCCAAUUACCUGCAUCAAACAUGUCUACAAGAUUUGCAGAUUCUAAUCCUUCCGGUUGUGAUGGUAUACCGGGGUUAGUAGUAGGAACAGCAGCAGCUAUUUGAUUUAACUGAGAUUCAAUCAUUUUAUUAAAGCUAAUUUGAUUCUUGAUGGCAGUAGAGAAAUUAUCCAUUCUAUUAUUUUUAUUUUCUAGCAUUUUAUCAUUAGAUGCCAAUUUCUUAGAUAAAUUAUCCGUUAGCUUUCCUUGAUUAGACACUAACUCUCUCAAAGGUGGAAAAUUAUUAGCAUUAUUGUUGUAAGAAUUAUUACCUUGAUAAUUACCUGAGUAGUUAGGCCUCUGUUGAUUCCAACCUUGAUUUUGUUGAGGACGGUUGUAGUAGUAGUUGUUGUUGUUGUUGAUGUAGUUCACAUCCUCAAGCAUCUCAGGGCAGUGGUUGCCUGAGUGUCCAGUGUCUCCACACUCCUCACAAGUCAUGUGAGAGUCGUAGAUGUGCAUAACUUCCUUCUUAUCUCCAGCUCUAUCAUCGAGCUUCUUCAUGAGCAGGUCUAGCUUUGCAGACAGCAUGUCUACCUCCUUGAGCUGAUGCAUACCUCCACCUCUCUUGCGUGUCUGGGUCCUCUCUUCAUUCCAGCUUUGGUUGGACGCCAUCUUCUCCACAAGAGCUGUGGCUUGUGGUAUUGUAAGUGAUAAGAAUGCUCCUCCAGCUGCAGCAUCCAUGGUCUCUCGGGCACUGUUGCCGAGCCCAUGAUAAAACAUCUGCAUCAAUAGCCAACUCUCCAUUCCAUGAUGGGGACAUUCUAGGAUGUAGUCUUGAAAGCGCUCCCAUGCUUCUGGAACAGAUUCAUCAUUUUGUUGCUGAAAACUUGUAAUCUUCCCACGGAGAGCAUUGGUCUUGCCCAUGGGAAAGAACUUAGCCAGAAAGUUUGUUGAGCAGAGUGCCCACGUAGUAUUCGUCUCCUUUGUAGCGUAAAACCACUGCUUCGCUCUUCCUAACAGUGAGAAUGGGAAGAGGCGAAGUAGUAUAGCAUCUUUGGAAACUCCUGAUACGGUGAAUGUGUUGCAAAUCUCCAGGAAGUGUUGUAAAUGAGCACUAGCAUCUUCGUGUGCCUUCCCACAGAACUGGUUGGAUUGCACCAUGUUGAUAAGUCCAGGCUUGAGCUCAAAGUUGCCAUCGAUCUCUGCAGCAGGUCCAGUGCGGAUGUUGUCCGUAGUGGGAGCUGAGAACUCGCGGAUUGAUUUGUUCGCCAUGGCUUCGAACUCUGAAGACAAGUUCCGGUAAUCUUCUUGAUUGGAUGAAGCUUCUUGCUGAAGUGUUGAUGAUCUCUUCUUGAGCUUGGCUCUCGUCUUCUUGAAUAAUGCUUCGGGAUUGUCAACAAAAUUUCCUGGAAGAUGUCUUCUAUUCAUACAUUCCCCUACAUAAGAUGAAAUAGGAAAAUAUAGGGGUAAAACUGUAUGAGAGAAUAGAUAAGCUCAAUCAUAUUAGUGAUGCGAAUGAUAACUCAAAAUCUUUUAUUCCAUUCCUGAUUAGUAAUCAACCUUCCCCGGCAACGGCGCCAAAAAUGCUUGUUGGGUUUUCUUAACAUCAUUACCAAAAGUAGACUAAGUUCUCUAAAUCUAGUAACGGUGCCAAAAAUGCCAAACCUAUCCCUCACACCACUUAAGCCAAGUUGUCAUCCCCAGCAUGAUAUAAGAGACGCGGUAUUGAAAUAUGCAAUUGCUCUUCUAAAUAAAUAAUGAAUGGGAUCUGCAAGCGCACAGAUUAAUACCGAUGUAGCAUUUUAACCGGGAAGUAUUCCAGGUAUCGUUAUUUAUAUUUUUACCACUGGGAAGGGAUUAGCAAUCAACAAUAUUGAUUACAGAAUAGAAUAUGAGAUUGAGCAUCUAUCAUUGCAUGUAUAAUUGAGAACAUUAUAUCUAACUCUUCAUACAGGGAUAAGUGUCACAUGAAAGAUAUAUGAAAUAAUAAUAGUGACAAGGAUAACUAAUCUAAUCUAGCCACAUAAUAAAUAUGAUAAGCACCUCAAUUAGAUACUCUAGAAAGUCAUUAGCAUGGUAUUAGAAUGAACUACAAGAAUAUUCCCUAAGUUAUUCUCAACUAUAUAGUCUAGCAUUAUCAUAGUUAGUGCAAGCAUACUUAGCAAUCAUUGUGAGACAAGACUACGCCCAUGCAUAGUGAUAUUAGCAAGGUAAAUGAGAAACAUAGCAAUCACUCCCCUGUAAUAAUGUUGCUCUGCCAGCCCAAUACACGAGAGGGGGACUAUAUAAGAAUCAAUGAAGCUGUCACUAUCACGAACCACCCAUUGGGUACAAUCGCAGAUAAAUACGGUAUAAGCACCACGCCUACACAAUAUCUAUCAUUUACCCAUGGAUCUGAUGGAUAAACGCUAUACGAUCCUAAGCAUGUAUAUAGAUCGAAUCUAACUAAGCCAAGUACAUAACUAUGAUAAACUAAGAACAAUAUAAUCUUGAAUAUAAGCAAGUAGAGCAAAGUCAUAAGCAAUAUAUUGAAGUAGAACAAAGUCAUAUUCAUAAUAUUGAAGAACAAAGAUAAUUAGAAGAACAAUUAGAAGCACAAUUAGAGAAUUACCAAGAAUCCUCUUGAAAGAUCCGGAAACCAAUCGAAGAUUGACUCCUUCUAGUUCUAAUCCUAUGUAGCUAUGCUAAUCUAGAUAUCUAAUUGAUGUGGUGGCUCUAAUCUUGAUCAGAGGCUUCUUCUCCCUUGAAGAACAAUGAAUUAGGGUUGAGAGGCUCUCUCCUCCAGGGGCCAGGGGGUCUGGUUUUAUAGUCCCUUCAAGUGAAUAUGGGCCAUUGGAUCAAACCGACAUAGAUUAUAUGGUUUAGAUUCAUCCUUUAGGUCGGUGGAGGUCUCCCGCGAAGCAGAGUCCUGAUUGGACUCCUGGAGAGGACGGGCGCCCCGACCAACUGGGCGGGCGCCCAGGGUCUGGCCCCGUUUCGCCUCCGCUUCGGUCUCGUGGCUUCUGGAGUCUUCUAGAUGUAAGAUAAUUGCGCGGCACGUUAACAUCUCUAUGUAAUCCCGACGUGUGGGCCUUUCUUCCGUAUUUCCUGAUAACCCCCUGCAGAAAUAGACAAACACCAAAACUCGUGGAAUUCUGUCAGAUAAAACCCUAAGUCUAGAUGUUGAUUUCAUUUGGAUCCUUUUCUUUGUUUAUUUAAUAAUUAAAUUUGAUACUUAAGGACCGUCAACAAACUCCCCCAAGCUUACCUCUUGCUCGUCCCUGAGCGAGGAUAGACUCAGCUAUGGAUCAUAAGUUGUUGCAAUAUUUUUAAAAAUUUGACGGUACACAUGCUUUUAAAUAAGAUCUCAUCUCUGAGUUAGAGUAAACUGUCAAGACUUAAAACUUACUUACUUUACCUUCACCAUGGGACUUGUAACCGUCACUUCUAUCUUGAGUGGUUAAAAGAUAGAACAGUCUAGUCAAGUGCCAUGUCUCUUAUUCUUGAUCAGCUAUAGCUCUGGGGUUUUUGCAGAUUUUCAAAUAAAACUCAGAGAUUCCUUGUAUGAUUCUCUCAGAUCUCUCUUUUGUGGUAUUUCUGGAUCCUUACCAAGGCAGUGAUGGUAUAUGCCUUCUCUCAAUAUAUGUGGUAUUUGUGGUAUAAAGCAUAGUGACAUUGCCUUCUCUCUCACCCUACUCUAAUAAGGCUUUAAUAUCUGGAGCUCAUAGGUGGGAGAUAAAGUAUACAUACUUACAAGACAUGUAUUGCAUAGUCAAACCAUGGAUCCAAAGAAACAAGCCAAUGACUUUAAUCAAGAUGUGCAUGUGUGGUGAAUGAAUGAUGUAUGGUGAUGAUGGUGAUAAUAAUGGUGGUGGAAGUCUAAUUCUACUUUGCUCUUUUGAGGGGAUACAUACCUUUCUUGCUUUUUUGAAACUUUAUGAGGAGAAUGAGAUGCUCUUCUUUUUCUUUUCUCUCAGGUGGGUAUCUUGCACCCCUAAUUCUACUGUCGGACACUUGUCUAUUUUUACCUCUCGUCUCACUCUCUUUUCUUUCGAGGUUCCGAGCAGUUGCUCCUUUUUAUUUCCUCGUAUUUCUCUCUCUCUUUUUUCAGAGCAUUCAUCUCUUGAGAUAAUAUAGCAAGUGGUAGUAACAAUAUAACUUGAGCAUUUAUUUUACAAGGAAAAACAGAAAUAUUUUUGGCUAUUCUCUCCAGGAUUAGGAGUAGAAAAUUUUUGGGUGAUUCUGGAGAUGGAAUGGGUGGAUAUAUGUGGAUGGUACUUCCGGAAUAGAAGUAGCAUAUAUGAGCGAACGUGCAAGUGAAUCUUGAUUUAACCACAUGACAAAUUCCUAAGGGUCUACACAGCUUGACCACACUCAAUGCUCAUAAGCAGUAAAUAGUAAAUGUGUGGCUCAAAGUCUAGCAAGCAUGUAUAUAUGGCUGUGGUAGGAAUUUAAACUCUCAUCAUACAGGAACUCAUCAUGCAACACUUUAAAGAUUUUUUAAAAGAUAAAAUUCUCCAGAAUUCUAGCAUCUCUAGGAACAGAUAAACAGCAGCUCAACCUUCCCAUAUCGUAUCCGUUAACAACUUAGACUUCAGAUCAAGUUUUCAUCCCACAAGUUUAGGUCUAGAGCAAGCUUUAAAUUAUAACAGUUAUAUCUAAACUUGAGAGAGAACUUAAAAUGUGCAAAUUAGGCAGAGCAACUAUUCAUCAUUUCCAUGCUUAAGUUUUAUUUAGAUAC
RNAcentral lists this long non-coding RNA (7927 nucleotides) under Sorghum bicolor (sorghum). Its description in RNAcentral is "long non-coding RNA (SBIC_LNC012357)". The stretch from base 4010 to 4116 matches the Rfam family "Plant small nucleolar RNA R71". Lineage: Eukaryota; Viridiplantae; Streptophyta; Magnoliopsida; Poales; Poaceae. The record is from RNAcentral.